GACGAACGCUGGCGGCGUGCUUAACACAUGCAAGUCGAACGGAAAGGCCCUGCUUUUGUGGGGUGCUCGAGUGGCGAACGGGUGAGUAACACGUGAGUAACCUGCCCUUGACUUUGGGAUAACUUCAGGAAACUGGGGCUAAUACCGGAUAGGAGCUCCUGCUGCAUGGUGGGGGUUGGAAAGUUUCGGCGCUUGGGGAUGGACUCGCGGCUUAUCAGCUUGUUGGUGGGGUAGUGGCUUACCAAGGCUUUGACGGGUAGCCGGCCUGAGAGGGUGACCGGCCACAUUGGGACUGAGAUACGGCCCAGACUCCUACGGGAGGCAGCAGUGGGGAAUAUUGCACAAUGGGCGGAAGCCUGAUGCAGCAACGCCGCGUGCGGGAUGACGGCCUUCGGGUUGUAAACCGCUUUCGCCUGUGACGAAGCGUGAGUGACGGUAAUGGGUAAAGAAGCACCGGCUAACUACGUG
Molecule: ribosomal RNA, 468 nt
Filed under: uncultured bacterium
Lineage: Bacteria
Description: partial 16S ribosomal RNA
Rfam family: Bacterial small subunit ribosomal RNA
Source: RNAcentral